Vigna angularis (adzuki bean) is the source of this 1211-nucleotide long non-coding RNA. RefSeq lists it as uncharacterized. The record is from RefSeq and is a predicted model, not a curated record. The transcript is spliced from 3 exons. NCBI's taxonomy places the organism in Eukaryota, Viridiplantae, Streptophyta, Magnoliopsida, Fabales, Fabaceae.
UUUCUCCUUCGUCUUGAACGCUAUCUUCCCUUCAGGUUUGCUCUCAUCUUUCACAUUUCGUCUUCCUCGAGUUUCCUCUUUCCACUCGAGAGCUCCUCAUUCGCAAGCCAUUUCUCUUCACACAAUCUUCUUCUUCUUUCAUAUUUAGCUUUUCCAUAGCCUUUGCAACCAUAGAACGUUUGUUCUACUGAUUCAUUAGACGAUCUACAUCUCUAGUUAGGGCUCCAACCUCUUUUCACCAUUUUCUUCAUUUUCAACCGAUUAAAUCCUCUUUUCUAUCGAUUAAAAGCCUUUCUACCGAUUGAUUCUUCGAUUAGCAUCAUUUACACCGAUUAAUCGAUCCAUUUUAGGUUUCCUUCAUCAACCUAGGGUUUUAGGGUUCUUCGCGUCGAAUCCUCUCCGUUUUUGGAGUAUUCCUGGAUUCUCAGGGUUUGUUUUCGUUCUCCAUUGAUUCGGCUCUUAGUCUCGAGUUCUCUUCCCAAUUUACAUCAUUCCGCUGCGUUUCUUCACCGGAGGAGCCUCAUUACAGUUUAAAUCGCGCCUUCAGGCCUUCAUACAAUGAUAUUUAUAUUACCGAUGUUGCGUUUAGGGAAGAUUCAGAGGGCUUUUAAGGAUGGGAAGACCUUACCCAAUGGACCUGUUAUUUCUCCUGACAGAUUUUAUUGAGAAGCUUCAUUGGACGCCUUGUACCCCAUUCAGAAUGUGCUGCCAUCUUUUGUGGGUUAUAGGUCUACAAUCAUUAUGUCUCAAUUUUAAAAUUUAGCUAGAGAAAAUCCAGUAACAGACCAAUUUUAAUAGUACUUUUCUCUUUUCAGGAGUGUAAUUGAGAUGCUUGAAGUGAAAAUUAGAAUUUGUGUGCAAUUUCAACACUGUAUUGGAAGAGAUAUCAUUAUCCAAACAAAAUCUUUCCACGCCUCUUGAUUGUAUGAAAAAUCGUAAAUUUGAUAUUGUAAGUGUUCAAUAAUUCAUUAAUAGGUUUGAGUAUAUUUUGUUAAGUUGUUUAUGUAAUAUAUCUAUUUUAAAUGUAAAAUGUUUGGUAUGGUGUUGAAUGAAUACUAUUGUGAUGGAUAGUUGUGUUUAUAUAUAUUACAGGUUUGUAUUGUGGUAUAUGCAGUUGGCAACUAUACACAUUUCCAGAUAUUGUUUUCAAGUUGAUGUUAACUGGCUCUAGUUUCUGGGAAAGUAUUAUUUUCUAUUUUUAAUCAUGUUGA